AAACGUGAGCGCUAGCUUACGUGGAGGCGCUGGUGGGAUACUACCCUAGCUGUGUUGGCUUUCUAACCCGCACCACUUAUCGUGGUGGGAGACAGUGUCAGGCGGGCAGUUUGACUGGGGCGGUCGCCUCCUAAAAGGUAACGGAGGCGCUCAAAGGUUCCCUCAGAAUGGUUGGAAAUCAUUCAUAGAGUGUAAAGGCAUAAGGGAGCUUGACUGCGAGACCUACAAGUCGAGCAGGGUCGAAAGACGGACUU
This 254-nucleotide ribosomal RNA is filed under the name Staphylococcus aureus. Its description in RNAcentral is "partial 23S ribosomal RNA". It matches the Rfam family "Bacterial large subunit ribosomal RNA", at positions 2160 to 2413 of the family's 2925-position model. Lineage: Bacteria; Bacillati; Bacillota; Bacilli; Caryophanales; Staphylococcaceae. The record is from RNAcentral.